GCCGUUAUAGCUCAAUUGGUAGAGCAAUUGCCUAGUAAGCAAUAGGUUAUGAGUCCGAGUCUCAUUGACGGCU
This 73-nucleotide transfer RNA is filed under the name Bacteriophage sp. RNAcentral's name for it is "tRNA-Thr". It matches the Rfam family "tRNA". Rfam says of the family: Transfer RNA (tRNA) molecules are approximately 80 nucleotides in length. Their secondary structure includes four short double-helical elements and three loops (D, anti-codon, and T loops). The record is from RNAcentral.